Molecule: ribosomal RNA, 274 nt
Filed under: uncultured bacterium
Lineage: Bacteria
Description: partial 16S ribosomal RNA
Rfam family: Bacterial small subunit ribosomal RNA
Source: RNAcentral
AUACGGAGGGUGCAAGCGUUACUCGGAAUCACUGGGCGUAAAGCGCGCGCAGGCGGGCUGAUAAGUUGGAUGUGAAAGCCUACGGCUCAACCGUAGAACUGCAUCCAAGACUGUCAGUCUAGAGUGUGGGAGAGGAAGAUGGAAUUAGUUGUGUAGGGGUAAAAUCCGUAGAGAUAACUAGGAAUACCAAAAGCGAAGGCAAUCUUCUGGAACACUACUGACGCUGAGGCGCGAAGGCGUGGGGAGCAAACAGGAUUAGAUACCCUAGUAGUCC